Molecule: non-coding RNA, 444 nt
Organism: Elephantulus edwardii (Cape elephant shrew)
Lineage: Eukaryota; Metazoa; Chordata; Mammalia; Macroscelidea; Macroscelididae
Source: the annotation of a RefSeq genome assembly
AUGAAGACAUCCUUUCAAGCUUUGUUCAUGUUUCUGUGGCUACAGCUGAACUGGAUGUGCCAAGGAGAGAAUGUAGAGCAGCACCCUUCUACUUUGAGUGUUUUGGAGGGAAGCAGCGCAGUUAUCAACUGUACUUAUUCAGACAGUGCCUCGUCCUACUUUCCUUGGUAUAAGAAAGAACCUGGAAAAGAUCUCCAACUCAUCAUAGCUCUUCGCUCAAAUAUGAACAAAAAUGAAGGCCAAGGACUCAUUGUUUUGUUAAAUAAGACAGCCAAACAUGUCUCUCUUCACAUCCCAGGUGCCCAGCAUGGAGACUCAGCUGUGUAUUUCUGUGCAGCAAAAAUAAUUACAACAAUAAAUAUACAUGAAGAAAAUGAUAAGGUGGUUAUUACAAAAGAUGUUUGGGUUGGGUUAGACUCCCAGCCAGUGAACACAGAAGUUUGA